UGCACUAGCACUGCAGCAAAUUCACAGGCACAGUCAGGUAGACAAGCAGCACAGUGACGCAGUGUCCCAGAUGAGCCACGCUGAGCCGACGCCGAGAUGAGGGGUCUUGUCUGGUCACGGCUGAAGGAAGGGCUUUAUAUGUCGAUUGGCGUAUUCCUUUUCCUCUUGGGCCUGUGUGCAGUCCCAGGCAUGACUCAUGUUUCACUCUCAAAUCGAUAAGGCAACUGCAGAACCAAGACUCCCUUCUUCUAGGUUGCCCCGUUCCUUCACUGAUUCCUUGUUCCAUUAAAUGGAGUUGAUGCCUCCAAGAGGACUCCAUAUUGGAUCUGUGUUCGGGGACGAAGAGUGACAUGGGGAGCAAUUACCUGGGGAGGGCUUUGAAGAACCUGCUCUGUCAGCUAAAAGCCCAAUAAAUCAGAGUCAGAGUCAGACGACAGGAACAACAGAACUGACAGAAGAGAGGGAGAUGAUGGUUUGAUGGGAGCACAUUUGUAGCAAUGUAGCACUCGUUUAUAAGGAAUGCAGUCUGGCAGAACCCUGCAUGGGUGCAGGUUUCACACUUUUGCACCAAUUAAUUUUAAUCGGUCAAGGAUGAUUUGACACCCACUAACCCCACUUUUUAAGCUUGCCUUGGUGCCCACUAACCCAGCUGUUAUAGGAUGCUUUGAUAGCCACUAACUCUACUGUUUAAGUUGACUUUGAUAACCACUAACCCUACUGUUAUAGGAUGCUUUGAUACCCACUAACUCCAAUGUUUUAGUUUGGUUUAACAGCCACUAACCUUACAUUUAUAUGCUCUGAUACCCAAUAACCUUGCUCUUUAAGGUUAUUGGCUACGCCCAGGGUAUUGCCAUACCUGGGUUAAGCUGUAACGCUCAAGUCCACAGAAAAACAGUGGCAGCACCAACACUGAAGGCUGAUUUUGAUAGCCUAAUCCCUCAGACGGAGGGACCCGGACCAGCCUUCUAGGGAGGCUGCAGGGAUCACGGGACGUGGGCGUAGAUGCUAAGUGAAUGGAAAACUACUGGAGAACCGACCUCACCUCCCUGACACAUUCUCAUCCUUUCCUACCUCGAGAUAUGUGCCGCUAUAACAUUCAACCAAAAUAAUUCUGAGGCCUAAUGCUUCUUAUGAUAUUGUUUGAGUCUUGCUGUGGGCCUCAUGUGUGCUGUGCCUUUUCCAUCUCAAUCACACAUUAAGAGAGCUGACAGAAUGACAAAUGGUUUCUAUGCACACUGUUGGUGGUCAUGGUGAUGCAAUACCAUAUUUACAUUUAACGCCAAUGGCAGGGAUCUCAUUGUUUGCUUUAGCCACGCUUACACAGAGAAGGCCGGAUGUUAAAUGCUGUUUUAUUUUUAUUUGCAGUGGUAUUGCUGGUAACUUCUCUUUUAUCUUUUGCCGCAAUGCAAAUUAAAGGAUUGCAACCUU
This is a long non-coding RNA of Gadus macrocephalus (Pacific cod), 1428 nucleotides long. RefSeq lists it as uncharacterized. The transcript has 2 exons. The record is from RefSeq and is a predicted model, not a curated record. NCBI's taxonomy places the organism in Eukaryota, Metazoa, Chordata, Actinopteri, Gadiformes, Gadidae.